GAUGAACGCUGGCGGCGUGCCUAAUACAUGCAAGUCGAGCGAACAGACGAGGAGCUUGCUCGUCUGACGUUAGCGGCGGACGGGUGAGUAACACGUGGAUAACCUACCUAUAAGACUGGGAUAACUUCGGGAAACCGGCGCUAAUACCGGAUAAUAUAUUGAACCGCAUGGUUCAAUAGUGAAAGACGGUGUUGCUGUCACUUAUAGAUGGAUCCGGGCUGCAUUAGCUAGUUGGUAAGGUAACGGCUUACCAAGGCGACGAUGCGUAGACGACCUGAGAGGGGGAUCGGCCACACUGGAACUGGGACACGGUCCAGACUCCUACGGGAGGCAGCAGUAGGGAAUCUUACGCAAUGGGCGAAAGCAUGACGGAGCAACGCCGCGUGAGUGAUGAAGGUCUUCGGAUCGUAAAACUCUGUUAUUAGGGAAGAACAUAUGUGUAAGUAACUGUGCACUUCUUGACGGUACCUAAUCAGAAAGCCACGGCUAACUACGUG
Molecule: ribosomal RNA, 497 nt
Filed under: uncultured bacterium
Lineage: Bacteria
Description: partial 16S ribosomal RNA
Rfam family: Bacterial small subunit ribosomal RNA
Source: RNAcentral